AGGGGAGGAGGAGGAAGAGAGGGGAGCGGGGGCAGCCGGAGGAGGGGUGGGCAGACGGAAAUGAUCAGCGGAGCAACGGGGAGAUCAUUUGAACGCUCCUAUUUUCGUUUUGUUCAACUUCGAUGGACGUCGCAGUGGCAACGGCAGAAUGUCAGACCCACUCUGCUGGCGGGAGGCGGUGGGGAAGGCCGAAGGCCGCGGAGACUGCAAAGCAAUAAGAGGCUUGUCAGAAGGGCCGCUUACGUGCAGUUCCUCGUUAGUAUAGUGUUCUGUGGCUCCCCCUCCCCGAUGUCAGAGGUGCUCCAAAUAACCUGAGACCAGCCAGAUCAGAGCCUUCCUUCAGGCCACAGUUCAGAGGUGACCAGGUGAGCCAGGUUUGGCUAAUGAGAGUGAAUCCUGGGACAUGAUGGGAGCUCAUGGAGAGACACACAUGAUUCCGUUGUAAGUCUGGAGCUGCUGGAAGCCUUCUGUUGUCACCGUGUCCCUGAGGAGAGAGCCAAACUGAGGAUCUGGAGAAAGGAAUGAAGACUGCCAGCUGCAAGGUGGAUUCUGGGUGACCUAUGCCUGAAUCAGCCACGGAGAAGACCCCAUUCUCUAGAAUAAAGGAUCUGCAGCAGGACAGAUGGAAUGCUCUGUCAUGAUGAGGAUGUUCUUAAUUGAAGCUGAUGAAUUUUGGCUGGACCUGGGGAUGUCCAAGAAUGGCUGUGGUUCGCAGACUCCCUUGUAGUUCAGUGCAGCCACAUGACUCAGUUGUAUGUGAGGAGAAAUGGGAUCUGCAAUUUUAGUGUCCCAUCCUUCAAAGGACACUGCUUGCUCUCUAUGUCCUCUUUUCCUUGCUCCAAGGAUGGGGCUGUAGUGAGCUGGCUUUGACCAUGAAAGCAAGGAUCACAGAAUGAGGACGAGCCGAGCAACAUAGAGGGAACCCGGUCCCUGGAUGUGCUUAUGGGACAAAGCAAUGUACGUGCCUGCCCUAAAUAUAUCUUUAGAUUAUUAUAUGAAUACGAAAUCAACCUCUGUCUUGUUGAAAUCACCAUAUUUUGGAGUGUCUUUGUUACAGCACCUUAGCCUGUUCUCUAACUAAUAUGGAGAGGUUAAGUAAUGUGUGCAAGAUCACAAUGGUAAUAAAUGACAGCAAGUGGAUUUUAACUCUGGUAGGAUUUGAAUCCAGAGCCCAAGCUGACUGUGCAAUAACAAGCCAGCACCCAAACUUAACUACUAACUAUAUAAUAAGAUCUUGUUCCUCCCAAAAUUCAUAAUCUCCAGGCAAGACCACCCCUUGUAUUGCGCUUUGAAGGACAGUCAAAUGAGCUCUGAAAUACCAAUUGUCUAAUCUUUUCACUGGAUAACUGGAAACCCCAUGAUCAUUCCUUUCUUUGAGGGAGUAGAGAUCUGGUUAAAAUGUAAACACAAAGUGAGAGAAGCAACACAAAAAUCCAUCAUCACCACGAAGUCUUGGUGCUAGUUAAUUCCUCAUCCUGUCCGACCUGUCAGGGUUGAGAUAGAGUGGGAAAUGGGGCAGAUGAAAUUCGAUGGAAUGCUAUGAAGGAGGUGGGUAAAACAGUGUGUGGGGAGAGCAGCAUGUUUGGAAAGGAAACAGAAGAAUCCUUUGCCUUUCUGAAGGAAGAUAUGGUAGACAGACAUGUCUUCUAAACGCCUUCAAAGACACCCAAGUCCAUGUCCCCAUCCCUGGAUCUGUGAGUACAUUGCAUGACAAAGGGAUUCCAUAAAUGAAGGACCUUGAGAUGGAGAGAUUAUCCUGGAUUAUUUGGGUACCCAAGCUUUGAUCUCCAAGCUACACUUAGGGGACCUUAUAUGGGAAAGAGGGAGUCAGGAGAGAGAGUCAGAGAAGCCAAGAUGGUGACAGAAGCAGAGGUCAAAGGAAGAGAGGUUUGAAGAUGCUACACUGCUGGCUUUGAAGAGUGAGGAAGGGGCUAGGAACCAAGGAAUGUGGCUCCAUCUAGAAGCUGGAAAAUUCUCCUCAAGAGCCUCCAGGAGAAUGAAGCCCAGCUGACACCUUGGCUUUAGCCAAGGUGAAGUCAUUUUGGACUUCUGAUUUCCAGAGUACAUUUUUUAAAGCCUCCCACUUUGUGGUGCUUUUUUUAGCCACAGGAAAUACUACAAGGAGUGUGGUUGUCGGGGAAACAAGUGGCACAUGUAUAGACUUUCUGUAAUGGUUUUACCCAUGGAGGUAUGGGCACUGUUAAGGGUAUAAAAAAGGGAUGGAGAAGAAUCAAGAGAUCAACAACAGCAAGAAUCCAAUACCAUCCUGAGAUCUGAGGCCAUGGGGGAAAGAGGUGUCACUGAAGACCAAGAAGAGCUGGAGUCAUGAAGAAGCCACCCAAGAAGAAGCUGUAGCCACAGAGGGUGGGCUAUGGGUUGGGCUGAUUUCCCAAAGGUGCCUCUUAGGUACACUAAGCUCUGAUGGCAAAGAAUUCUUUACAAGACUUUGUAAAGAGCUCCUGGGGGGCUUAGUCAGUUAAGCAUCUGCCUUUGGCUCAGGUCAUGAUCCCGGGGUCCUAGGAUUGAGCCCUUCUUUGGGCUCCCUACUAAGUGGGGAGCCUGCUUCUCCCUCUGCCUCUCCCUGCCUCUCUCCUUUGCUUGUGCUCUCUCUCACUGUCAAAUUAACAAAUAAAAAUCUUAAAAAGAAAAAAAAGACUUUUGUCCCUAAAAAAGAUUCACAAUGGAUUCCUCACUCCAUCUUUGAGGCCAACAGACAAUAGUAACAGCUGUCUUAAUGAGAAAAGACCUCCAUUAGACCCACUUAUUUUAGGUUCUCAACUCUUGUUCUAGCUUUUUCUUUGUCUUGAAUAUGUAAAAAUGCUUUGAAUGAUUAUGACUUAUGCUUCUUAUUUCAAGACAUCCUUUUAAUGGAAAAAACAUAUAUAAAUGGAUUAUAGGGUAUAAAAAGAAAUGCAGUUACCCAUGCAUGCAAAAGCCUACCUCAUUGGCCAAAGCUGUAAGCUGAGUACCACCAUGCACCUUGGGGCAGUGACCCAUAUUUCAAGCAAAGUAGCAAGGGGAAAAUUUAAAGUGCCCCAAGUUUUAAUAUAGCGUAUGGGGUAGUGGUUACCCGAAUCUUGCAUGUCAUACCCAGAAUCAAUUGGGGGAAUGUGCAAGGGGGAAUGGGUACUUUGAUCUUUUCAUAGUUUCCUUCUUGGUAAAUAAAUGUGUAUUUUCAAGCUGAAUCUCAUCGUGCAAUUUCCUGCCAACUUUAGUUCUCUGUAAAACUUACCUUCACUUUUUCCAUCUCUGCCCCCAGGCAUUCAACACUUUACCUUUUGAAUGUCUAGAUUGAAAUAAAAUAUUUUAGAGAAAUGAGGCAUGUGAUAACGGUCCCCACAGCCUUCCACCCACCCCCAGCAUGACAGUAAUUUGGUCCUCUGUGUUUACUCAAACUUCACAAUUGCCCCCUGAUUUAUAUUAAAUGUAGCUACAUUUGAAGACUUAGAGGUAAUCUAAGUGGAAACAGCUUGACUCUCUAAAGAAAAAAAAUAAACAAAAAUCAGAGUAAAAUAAUUACAAGAGAAUUGGAAGAACAGACCCAAUUUUGUCACUAAUAAUUUUUAGAAUUUGUAGAGUGUCAUUUGUUAUUACUCUCCGUUUCCACCUCUCCAGCCAAAACAAGUUCUAAGCCCAUUUGGAUGUAUUUUUAUGGAUGAAGUCAAUGAAUUUAACAUGAUAACUUUUAAACCAUUUUAAAUCCGAGUAAAUUAUGUAGUGAAAUCCUGUUCAUUUGGAUUUUGUCCAUGUUUGCCAUGAUUUAGAUACGAGCUGGUUUAAAGGUUACUUUUCCAGUUACUGUGGGAAAGAGUUUACUAGGGAAAUAAUAUAAGGAAGAUUUUUCAAUCUAUUUAAAAAGUCAGAUGGCUUCCAAGUACUUGAAAAAGUUUUGAUAUUUUCAGUUUGCAUAUAAAUAACUUAUUUUGAUAAUGGUCAAUGACUAUCAAGGUUUCUGACUUCACUGAUAUUUACACAGGACUUUCUAAGCUUACAAAACAUUUCUGAGAGUCAGGAUUUUGGUUCCCACUAUAUAGAGACAUUCAUUCAUUUCUUCAUUUAACAAAUAUUUUGUUGAAUACCUUCCAUGUGCCAGGCAUUGAUCCAGGUGCUAGAAAGAAAACUGCCAGAUUAAACCAGGACCUACACCCAAGUUCUGUUCAUCCUCUCACCCCCCUCCCUCACACACCCUAGGGACACCCCCACUAAGUGUUGAACCUGGAAGGCCCUUUAAGGACAGAGGAUAUGUUUCAGCUAUCUGACUCUCUGAAUGCCCAGUAUCUAGAACUGAGUUUGGCACCUAGUAGAUGCUCAACAAACAUUUGCUGAAUGAAAAACUCCUGACUCCUAGUCCAGGGCUCAUUUGCUAGAACACAGCUAAUACUUGUUUAGAGUAUUAGCUGUUAGGUGCUGGGCUAAGAGGUGGGUAGUAUUAUUAUUCUCUUCACUUAAGAGAUGAGAACGAUGAAAAAUAGAGAAGAAAAAAAAGUCGAAAGUAACUUGCCCAGGGUCACAUACCUAAUAAGUGGUAGAACCAGAAUCUGGGUGCAGGAAAGUUUGAUUCUGAUACUACCCUCUAAAGGUAACUCUGCCUCUAUGGCUAACUCUGAACUGUUAGGUAGCUAUGUGCUAAAAUUCAAGAUCUGUAAAGGCAGGGAUUUUGGUGUGGUUUGGUUUUUCUUAGAGUAAUUUGCAUUUUUUCCAUUUUUUAAAAAUUUAAAUUCAAUUUGCCAGCAGGGAUUUUUGUACUUUCGUACUACUGUAUUUCCAGAGCCAAGAACGUGCUUGAAACGCUUGGGCACCAGGUAUGCUCUCGGGACAGAUAUAGAUGGAAUAACUAGUUUCAUUAAAGAUGAUCUAACAGGACCUUCAUUUGUUUGCAUGUUGUUUGACAUUUGCUGUGUUAUUGACAAUAGUAGACGCUGUGGGUUGCUAUUUCCAGCCCAUUGCUCCAGUGGGAAUGGCUCUGAUUCUGUGUCCAUGUCUUUCACACAUGACUCAGGUAAGAGGCAUCCUUGGUACUGCUCCAGUGGGUAAAGCCCAGGGGUGCUGCUGAACAUUCUAUAGAACCCAGGGCAAGCUCCCCACAAGGGAGAGUCAUCCAGUCCAGGAUGUCAGUGGUGCUGAGAUGGAGAAACCCUGGUCAAAGCCAAUGACAGUGGUUCCAUUUCUCCUGCGGUGAGUGCUUUAGCUCUGAUCACCGGAAGUAAUUCCGGUCAAUGAGACGUGAGCAGAAGUCCACAUGGGGAGUGUGGUGGAGAAUAUUCAUGACCCCCCCUUGUUCAUUUUGCCUUUUCAGUAGCAGCAGUCCUCCAGGGUGAGCCAGGCAGAUGCCCAACUACUGUACUUCUCAGGCUCCCCUACUGCAAGGUGGGGCCAUGUGACGGUGUUGGUCCACGAGCUGUGAGAAAAAGUGUUGAGUCUAAUUUCUGGAGCACGUUUUAAAUAAGGAAAUUGCUAUUGUCGUUCACGGUGUCUCUUUUCCACUUUCUUCAAACUGGCAGUUGAUAUUUGUGAUCCAGCUUGAAGCAAACGCGCAACUCCAGGGCAUGGCACGGUAACAAGAUAGACUUAGUUACGUGGGCAUUGGCACAUGAGAGAUAAACAAGCUUUCCUGUUUAAACCAUCGUAUUUUUGAGACUUUCCGUUCUAGCCGCUUAACUAGUAUUCUAAGAUGGAGUGCUUCUGACUAAGCAUUUCCUCUCUGAUAAAACACACAUCCUUACACACUCACACCCCCCCCCCACACACACACGAAAUGGCUGUUUGUCCAAAGAAUGUUGUGGGAUUUAUGUGGAAUGUCUGGAACCAUGGCUGCCAUCUUGUGACCAUGAGGUAAGGUAGCCAGAGGGUCAAAGCUGACCUUCUAAGUGAGAAUGGCAUAGGAUAGUUGUAAAAAACUUAAAUCUUUCUAGACAUUGUUGAAGCAUUGAAUUAACUAACUUUGUUUCUGUCCUACCACGGGACUUCUUGUUGAGCAAGCUAGUAAAUUCACAGUAUCAUAACAGUUAUUUUGAGGUGUUCUUUUAAAAAGAAUUAUAGCCCUCUCCUAACUGAUUCCCUCUAUGUAUUCGAGCAUAAAGAUUUUUCGUGUCAUCAUAAGAAUUCGGAAUUUUUUUUUUACCAACUUAUCUUGCCUUUCUCCUUAUUUGCUACACCCUCUCCAAGUUAAUUUGAAUCUGUGAGGUUUCUAUACUUGAGGUGAGUAUGUGGGAAAAACAUGCACUACAAAUCCUUUGAGGAAAUGAGGAUGCAGGGCAGCAGUAAUUGCCACUGUGAUGCUUCUUGCUUAGAAUGAAGUUGAAUGGGAGGCUCGGUUUCCAAAAAGUCAAGAGUAGGAAUUGUGUGGGCUGUGAGCUGCAGCUGUGGUGGUGGUGAUGGAGUGGAGGUGCGGGGUCAGCCUCAGGGAAUGUUGGGUCCACGUCAGUGGUAUCCCCUAGCAUUCUGCAGUGCACGACCUGCUCAAAUACCGUCGGUCCUCCCAGAUUAGAGGGUGCCCACAUCCAGUAUUUUCAACCAAUUAUUUCCAUCUCCUUUGCUCCCUCACGGCCCUUCCCUAGUUGUGCUGUUUGGACGCUCCCUGAAGCCAUGAAGCUCAUGCUAACGGGUUUGCAAUGAAGGCACACUCCUCAGGUGACCUUGAAAUGAUGGCAACGGCUGUUCCCUGGAGGCAAUGACAGAUCCUCUCUGCUUUCCUCUUGGCAGGUGAUGGAGAGAAGGGCCUUUGCUCUCUCUGUUUUUUACAUCUAGGCACCCACCACGGAAAGGCCAGCAUGCAGGUGAAUUUCCAUUCACUUCCUACCAGCAGCCAGCCCCUCCUUUUGGACUCAUCUUGAAUCAUUUGCCAGACCAGCCAAUUAGUCUCUUCACCUUUCCUGAAGCUUCACCAGGGAAGGGAUAUCACAAGCAGCAACUCCCUCAUUAUCCCACUUCUUCUAAGCACUGUGAUUCUCAGUGCCCGCCAUGGGAGAAGAAGCUAAUUUGCACGAGACUCUUUAACCCUUCCUUGAAAGACUUCGGUCUCAAUCCUUCUCUCUCUCUUUCUCAUACACACAUACACAUGCACACACACAGCAUCUACACCCUCGUCCAAGGUAGGAAACAAGGUGAGAGUACGCAGCAUUCAAGAGUACAUUUGAAAGUGAGACAUAAUUUCAGAUGGAGUUGUAAUUGAGAGAGAGAUCAUGAUUCGAUUUAAAUACAGUCUGGAAGGAAAAACACAGGGAUUGUAUUUCCCGAUCCCCACUAUGGCACAA
Canis lupus familiaris (dog) is the source of this 7253-nucleotide long non-coding RNA. RefSeq lists it as uncharacterized. The record is from RefSeq and is a predicted model, not a curated record. The transcript has 4 exons. Lineage: Eukaryota; Metazoa; Chordata; Mammalia; Carnivora; Canidae.